Molecule: transfer RNA, 85 nt
Filed under: Francisella sp.
Lineage: Bacteria; Pseudomonadati; Pseudomonadota; Gammaproteobacteria; Thiotrichales; Francisellaceae
Also listed under: 1 other name
Description: tRNA-Leu
Rfam family: tRNA
About the family: Transfer RNA (tRNA) molecules are approximately 80 nucleotides in length. Their secondary structure includes four short double-helical elements and three loops (D, anti-codon, and T loops). Further hydrogen bonds mediate the characteristic L-shaped molecular structure. tRNAs have two regions of fundamental functional importance: the anti-codon, which is responsible for specific mRNA codon recognition, and the 3' end, to which the tRNAs corresponding amino acid is attached (by aminoacyl-tRNA synthetases). tRNAs cope with the degeneracy of the genetic code in two manners: having more than one tRNA (with a specific anti-codon) for a particular amino acid; and 'wobble' base-pairing, i.e. permitting non-standard base-pairing at the 3rd anti-codon position.
Source: RNAcentral
GCCCGGGUGGCGAAAUUGGUAGACGCAGGGGACUCAAAAUCCCCCACUGCAAAGUGUGUCGGUUCGAGUCCGACCCCGGGUACCA